CGCGCAGGCGGUUUAUCAAGUCAGAUGUGAAAGUCCACGGCUCAACCGUGGAAGUGCAUCUGAAACUGGUAGACUUGAGUACCGGAGGGGAAAGUGGAAUUCCCGGUGUAGAGGUGAAAUUCGUAGAGAUCGGGAGGAACACCGGUGGUGAAGGCGAUUUUCUGGACGGAUACUGACGCUGAGGCGCGAAAGCGUGGGGAGCAAACA
RNAcentral lists this ribosomal RNA (207 nucleotides) under uncultured bacterium. RNAcentral's name for it is "partial 16S ribosomal RNA". It matches the Rfam family "Bacterial small subunit ribosomal RNA", at positions 568 to 774 of the family's 1533-position model. The record is from RNAcentral.